Molecule: ribosomal RNA, 221 nt
Filed under: uncultured bacterium
Lineage: Bacteria
Description: partial 16S ribosomal RNA
Rfam family: Bacterial small subunit ribosomal RNA
Source: RNAcentral
UGAGCAAUCUGCCCUUCACAUCGGAUUAACCAUUGGAAACGAUGGCUAAUACCGAAUAUGACUUCGGAUCGCAUGAUCUGAAGUGGAAAGCUCCGGCGGUGAAGGAUGAGCUCGCGGCCUAUCAGCUUGUUGGUGAGGUAAUAGCUCACCAAGGCGACGACGGGUAGCCGGCCUGAGAGGGUGACCGGCCACACUGGGACUGAGACACGGCCCAGACUCCG